Molecule: ribosomal RNA, 253 nt
Filed under: uncultured bacterium
Lineage: Bacteria
Description: partial 16S ribosomal RNA
Rfam family: Bacterial small subunit ribosomal RNA
Source: RNAcentral
UACGUAGGCAGCGAGCGUUGUUCGGAGUUACUGGGCGUAAAGAGUGCGUAGGCGGUUUUCUAAGUUUGGUGUGAAAUCUCCCGGCUUAACUGGGAGGGUGCGCCGAAAACUGGAAGGCUUGAGUAUGGGAGAGGUAAGCGGAAUUCCUGGUGUAGCGGUGAAAUGCGCAGAUAUCGGGAGGAACACCGGUGGCGAAGGCGGUUCUCUGGGCCUGUACUGACGCUGAGGAGCGAAAGCCAGGGGAGCGAACGGG